GACGAACGCUGGCGGCGUGCCUAAUACAUGCAAGUAGGACGCAGUUGCGCACGGGUGAGUAAAGCGUAGGUAACCGCCUAUUCGAGGGGGAUAAAUAUUGGAAACGAUAGCUAAUACCGCAUACUAGUAGAUGGACCUGCGUUGUAUUAGCUAGUAGGUGGGGUAAUGGCCUACCUAGGCGACGAGACAUAGCCGACCUGGGAGGGUGAGCGGCCACACCGGGGCGUAGACACGGCCCAGACUCCUACGGGAGGCAGCAGUAGGGAAUCUUCGGGAAUGGGGGGAACCCUGACCGAGCAACGCCGCGGGAGUGAAGAAGGGUUUCGGAUCGUAAAGCCCUGUUGGUAAGGAAGCGGUACUUAACCAGAAAGGGACGGCUAACGACGUGCCAGCCGCCGCGGUAAUUC
Molecule: ribosomal RNA, 407 nt
Filed under: uncultured bacterium
Lineage: Bacteria
Description: partial 16S ribosomal RNA
Rfam family: Bacterial small subunit ribosomal RNA
Source: RNAcentral